This 5351-nucleotide long non-coding RNA is filed under the name Homo sapiens (human). RNAcentral's name for it is "non-protein coding lnc-FOXO1-2:29". The record is from RNAcentral. Lineage: Eukaryota; Metazoa; Chordata; Mammalia; Primates; Hominidae.
GUUUUGUGGCCAAGGCAGGGGCAGAAGCCAGCUCUUCUUACCCACUGUCCCCAAAGCUCAUCUCACACUGGAGUUGUGACAUCAGCACUAUUCUGCCUCUGCUAUACAACAGGCCCUGGAACAUACUCGAACCAUGUAGGUGAUUUGUGUCCCUGUCUCAUCUUUCUUACCAGAAUACCAUCGGAGCUCCUCUGGAACAUGUCCUUGUCUUCUCAGAGUGUGAAGUGUGUGUGUGACAGUGCUUUUCUGAGGACUCAGGUGACCUGGAGGCUGGAGAACAGCAUGGAGCAAGGAAAACAAAGACGAUGUGCUGGAGUGUAUGUUGCUUUCAUAAUUAUGUGAAAGAAAAUGUAGAGAAAUUUGAAAGGAGAACUGGUUAUCAGUAGUGCCAUCCUGCUCAAAUAUCUUCAAAUACACACCACCAUCCAUGUGUGGGUUGAUUAAGGAGCUGACGUUCAUUAGAUCUGCAGUCUCCUGACCUGAUGUGCAUCAGAAUCACUGGGAGAACAAACAAACAAAAAUGAAUCCAAAACAAGCAACGAACAGACAGAUUCUCAAGUCUUGCCAAGUCCAAAGAUUGAUUUGGUGGAGAAAUUGUACUUUGAAAGCUGCCCAGUUUACUGCCUUCAGAGAGUUUUCAGGAUGUGACAUAGGAAGGAAGAACCCAGGAGGGGACUGGUGGGUUUCCUGAGUUGAGAAGACAGACUGCUGAAAUGUUUCCAGGCAGACCAUGGCAGCUAGAGUUCAGAGGGCAGAGCACAAGAGACGAGAUUGCUGCAUAGAAAGAGAACUCCAGAGAUCUGCAGAGGGUCCUGCUUGAGGAUUCAGGUGAGUGUGGACAAGUUAUAUGCAUAUGAGGAAGUGCACCUGAAGUUAGGGAAAGAACCAUGGAAGAGGAUUAGAGAAAACAAUGCCCAGUGUUCACAUAGGGCCAGGAGUAAUGACUGUUUACACCAGCCAGACUAGAAGAAAAUCCAUGACACAUGGGGCAUUAGAUAGAGUACUGAGACAAAUAAUCAGUUGCAGAUUGAGCAUUGCUUGGGUCCUGUCUAACAAAUCUUACAAGCAAGACCUCAAAAGAUAAAUCUUCCAAGUACUGUAACUGUAUAUCAGAAUAACAUAUAAGAAUAUUUAUAGAAAUACAAAAAUACCCAGCAACAUUAUAAAAUUCACAAUGUCAGGUAUCCAAUAAAAAUUACCAAGCAUGAAAAGAAGCUGUAAAAUACAAAAUGAGAAUUAAAAACACACUUAUUUUUGUUAAGAUUAAGUGUGAAAUUGACACACAUAAUCCAGAACUGAUAUAGAUGCUAAAAUUAGCAGACAAGAACAUUAAAACUGUUAUUAUAAUUUUAUUCAAUACAUUGAAAACGGUAAUUAGAGACACGAAAGAUAUAAAAUCCCUAAAUCAAAAUUCUAGAGAUGCAAGCUACAAUAUCUGAGAUGACAAGUACAGCAGAUAGAAUUUAUGGUAGAUUACACAUUACAAAAGUAAAUAUGAGAAACUUGGAGGCAUAGAUAUAGAAACUAUCCAAAAUGAAACACAGAGAGAAAAUAGACUGAAAAAAAGAGCCCUAGUGUACUGUAGAACAAUGGCUAAAAGUUUUCUAAAUUUGAUGAAAACUAUAAACUCACAGAUCCAAAGUUCAAUGAACCCAAAGAACAAGACACGCAAUAAAAACUACAAGUUAGACUAUAGUUGCUCAAAAUUAAUUAGAAAGAACACAUCUUAACAGCAGCCAGAGAAAAAAGACACAUCACAUACACAAGGACAAAGAUAAGGAUGGCAGAAGGUAUCUUCUUGGAAAUUAUUCAGAUAAGAAGAUAGUGGAGCAAUAUCUUUAAAGUACUAAAAGGAAGAAACAAACCUGUCCACCUAGAAUUCUAUACUCCAGAAAAAUCUCUUUAAAAAAUCAAGGCAAAGAAAAGACCUUUUCAUACAUACAAGAGUUGAAACAACUAAUUGCCCGCAUAUCCACAUUACAAAAAAUUUUAAAAGAAGAUUUUCAAGCAGAGGAAAAUAAUAUCAAAUGGAAGCCUGGUUCUACACAGAGGAAUAAAGAGCACCAGAAAUUUACAAGGGCAAAGAUAUAAGAUUUUUCUUCUUAUUGUUGUUGAAAUCUGUUCAAAAGAUAAUUCGCAUCUUAAACAAAAAUAACAAUGUAUUGUGGAUUUUAUUACAUGCAUAAAAUUAAAAUGUAUGACAGCAAAUUAGAACAUAAGUGAAAGAAAGAAAAUAAUAAAGAUCAGAAUGAAAAUCAGUGAAGUAGAAAACAAAAAAGUGACAGCAAAAAGCAAUGAAACCAAAAGUUGGUUUUUUGAGAUAAUCAAUAAAUUGAUAAACCUAUAAACAGACUGGUCUUGAAAAAAAGAAAGAAGACACUUAUUACCAAUAUCAAGAAUGAGAAAGAUGACAUCACUGGAGAUAUUAACAGAAUAACAAGGAAAUAUAUAAACAACUUUAUGCCAAUAAAUUUGACAACUUAAUUGAAAUGAGAAAACUCCUUGAAAGGCAGAAAUUACCAGGCUGGGCAUGGUGGCUCACGCCUGUAAUCCCAGCACUUUGGGAAGCCGAGGUGGGUAGAUCACCUCAGGUCAGGAGUUGAAGACUAGCCUGGCCAAUGUGGUGAAACCCCGUCUCUACUAAAAAUACAAAAAUUAGCCAGGUGUGGUGGUGGGCACCUGUAAUCCCAGCUACUUGGGAGGCUGAGGCAGGAGAAUCACUUGAACCCGGGAGGUGAAGGUUGUAGUGAGCUGAGAUCAUGCCAUUGCACUCCAACCUGGGUAACAGGAGCAAAACUCUGUCUCAAAAAAAAAAAAAAAAAAAAAAAAAAAAAAAAAAAAAAAAAAAAAAGGGCAGAAAUUACCAAAGCUCACUCCAGAAGAAAUAGAUAACCUGCAUAGCCAUAUUAAAUUUGUAGUUUAGAAAUCUUCCUAUAAGGAAAACUUUCUUGGAAAUUCUUCCAAACAUUUAAAUAAGCAAUAAUACCAAUUCUACGUAACAAUUCUCUUCCAGUAUAUUGAAGUGAAAGAAAUAUAUGCUAACUCAUUCAAUGAGACCAGCAUUAUCCAGAUACCAAACCCAAGAAGACAUCACAAGAAAAGAAAACUAUAGACCAAAAUCACUCAUGCAGAUAGAUGCAAAACGUUUAAAUCCAACAAUGUAUAAAAGGGAUAAUACAUCAGGGCCCAAGAAUGCUGGCUUAACAUUAAAAAAAAUCAAUCAAUUUAAUUCACCAUAUUAAAAAACUAAAAAGGCAUCGCAAGGUCAGGAGAUCGAGACCAUCCUGGCUAACAUGGUGAAACCCCCUCUCUACUAAAAAUCGAAAAAUUAGCCGGGCAUGGUGGCGGGCACCUGUAGUCCCAGCUACUCAGAAGACUGAGGCAGGAGAACGGCAUGAACCUGGGAGGCGGAGCUUGCAGUGAGCUGAGAUCGCGCCACUGCACUCCAGCCUGGGCAACAGAGCCAGACUCCAUCUCAAAAAAAAAAAAAAAAAAAAAAAAAAAACAAACUAAAAAGGCAAAACCACAUUAUCAUCUCAAUAGAUAUAGGAAAAAAGCACAGGAUACAAUCCAAACCCAAUGUUGAAAAACGCUCUUGAUAAACUAAGAGUAGAAUGGAACUUCCUCAACCAGGUAAAAAGCAUCUAUGGAAACCAAUAGAUAAUGUUAUAUAAAAUUAACUUAAAAUAGACCAGAUACCUGAAUGUAAGGUCUGAAACAAUGAAACACCUAGAAGAAAACAUGGGAGAAACUGUAGCUGACCUCAGAAUGGGGAAAAAAAACCACAAGAAUUGCCCAACUGGAAUGAUGCUGCCAUCUUUGGAAAAGUAAAGAUUGGAGGUAGCUCCACAAACAAGAGUUUCUUGUGCCGCCUCUCCACAGAGGCCCUUCAAAAUGCAUUAUUUUUUCUUUGUACUCUGUACUUAACAUUCCUUGUAAACCGUAGCAUGUCUCUAUCAAGGUAAAACAGCCAGUGUAGGUUAAAUUUCAAGGGAACCAAUCAUUGUUAACGACUGUGGUGACUGUGGUAGUAUACAAUGUGCAGAGAAUAUGACCCACUGGAGGUACUGUACCUGGACAAUAGGCUGUACACAAGCAGCACAGCAGGGCCUUUAUACCUGAAGUAGGAUAGGUUCUGACAUUUGGAUUUCAGUGCUUUGUCCAUCACAGGCAAGGCCAGCAGUUCAACACAGUAUAUGUCGGGGAAGUGGAGCCUGUGUGAAGAACACAUAUUUUAUAUCAUACUAUGUGCCAGGCACUAUUAAGCACUUUAUAUCUAUUAUGUUAUUCAUAUAAGAUCCGGUGUUAUAGGUAUUAUUAUUUUCAUGUUAAGCUCAUGGAAGUUACAUAAUUUGUCCAAGGUCAACAACUGGUAACAGCUGGUGCUCAGGGUUGUCUUAUCAUUGUGGUUCUACAUUUUUAAAAUCUUUUCCAUUUUAUCAACUGUCUCCAUAAGAUCAAAAAAUAUUUUGCUAGGUUGCAAAGAAUGGUAUGCAUAUCUCUCUAGGACUUGAAGAGCAUGAGCCCAGAAAAACUCUACCCCUUUAUGAAAGGGCAGUUGUUAAAAAGGCUUGGCAAAUCCCCAGCCUCCUAAGUGUUUGGGGGCCAUACAUCUCCUAAGUGUUUGGGGGCCAUACAUCUCCUAACUGUCUGGGGGCCAUACAUCUGCUAAAAUGGGAUACCUGGAAUGUAUUCCGUAUGAGUGUUUCUUAGCAAAAAGAUGUAAAGGUGACCCCAUCUUUGGCCUUGAAAUGAAAGAGAUUUAUGAGCAAAUAUGGUGUGGGUGUUGAUUCCAUUUGGACUCAGCAUCACAAAGCUAGGUAGAGGUGACGAAAAACAACAAAUCAUGGUGCUACAGAAGAAUUUUGUGACUCUUUCAGGCAAUUCAUUUCUAAUGGCAGCUUAUCUACUGAAUAGAUUUUCAAUACUGAUGGAAGUAGUCUCCUCUGGCAUUGCUUGCAAAGUCAAUUCUGACACACGUGGAGAAGGAGAAGUGAAUCAAGCCCCUGUGAUUUUAAGCAGAGGGGGGAGCCAUUCCUGUUGUGGUAAUAUUACAGAUUCCCAUAAAAUAAUACCUUUGGCUAAAAGUUUCAUUGUCCUAGAGCUUUCAAAGUGAUCACACAUUGCCUAGUUGUUCUUACAUAAAAGUACAAGCUAACGCAUAAAUAGAUGAAAACAUUUUUCCUCCUUACUGGUUUUAUUAUCUCAUAGUAUGUCCAGUGAAACAUUUUUAAAUGGACCUUACUAUCUUUUUUUUUUUUUUUUUUGAGACGGACUCUCACUGUGUCGCCCAGGCUGGAGUUCAAUGGCACGAUCUCAGCUCACUGCAACCUCCACCUCCCAGGUUCAAG